This 253-nucleotide ribosomal RNA is filed under the name uncultured bacterium. RNAcentral describes it as "partial 16S ribosomal RNA". It matches the Rfam family "Bacterial small subunit ribosomal RNA", at positions 524 to 776 of the family's 1533-position model. The record is from RNAcentral.
UACGUAGGGACCGAGCGUUGUCCGGAAUCAUUGGGCGUAAAGAGCGUGUAGGCGGCCACUUAAGUCCUGCGUGAAAUCUUGCGGCUCAACCGCAAGCGGUCGUGGGAAACUGGGUGGCUAGAGUGCGGGAGAGGAGAGUGGAAUUCCUGGUGUAGCGGUGGAAUGCGCAGAUAUCAGGAGGAACACCGGCGGUGUAGACGGCUUUCUGGACCGUAGCUGACGCUGAGACACGAAAGCGUGGGUAGCAAACAGG